CAGUGCCUGGCGGUCAUGGACGCUGACGGUGCUGGGCACGCCGCUGAUGUCCUGUUCCUGGCGGGUGGCACUGA
This 74-nucleotide transfer RNA is filed under the name Pseudomonas mediterranea. Its description in RNAcentral is "tRNA-Pro". Lineage: Bacteria; Pseudomonadati; Pseudomonadota; Gammaproteobacteria; Pseudomonadales; Pseudomonadaceae. The record is from RNAcentral.